This 252-nucleotide ribosomal RNA is filed under the name uncultured bacterium. RNAcentral describes it as "partial 16S ribosomal RNA". It matches the Rfam family "Bacterial small subunit ribosomal RNA", at positions 524 to 776 of the family's 1533-position model. The record is from RNAcentral.
UACGUAGGGGGCUAGCGUUAUCCGGAAUUACUGGGCGUAAAGGAUGCGUAGGUGGUUUCUUAAGUCAGAGGUGAAAGGCUACGGCUCAACCGUAGUAAGCCUUUGAAACUGGGAAACUUGAGUGCAGGAGAGGAGAGUGGAAUUCCUAGUGUAGCGGUGAAAUGCGUAGAUAUUAGGAGGAACACCAGUUGCGAAGGCGGCUCUCUGGACUGUAACUGACACUGAGGCACGAAAGCGUGGGGAGCAAACAGG